RNAcentral lists this ribosomal RNA (397 nucleotides) under uncultured bacterium. Its description in RNAcentral is "partial 16S ribosomal RNA". It matches the Rfam family "Bacterial small subunit ribosomal RNA", at positions 523 to 918 of the family's 1533-position model. The record is from RNAcentral.
AUACGUAGGGGGCGAGCGUUGUCCGGAAUGAUUGGGCGUAAAGGGCGCGUAGGCGGCGCGGUAAGUCUGGAGUGAAAGUCCUGCUUUCAAGGUGGGAAUUGCUUUGGAUACUGCCGCGCUUGAGUGCAGGAGAGGUUAUCGGAAUUCCCGGUGUAGCGGUGAAAUGCGUAGAGAUCGGGAGGAACACCAGUGGCGAAGGCGGGUAACUGGACUGCAACUGACGCUGAGGCGCGAAAGUGUGGGGAGCAAACGGGAUUAGAUACCCUGGUAGUCCACACUGUAAACGAUGAAUGCUAGGUGUAAGAGGUAUCGACCCCUUUUGUGCCGGAGUCAACACAAUAAGCAUUCCGCCUGGGGAGAACGGCCGCAAGGUUGAAACUCAAAUGAAUUGACGAGG